Molecule: ribosomal RNA, 253 nt
Filed under: uncultured bacterium
Lineage: Bacteria
Description: partial 16S ribosomal RNA
Rfam family: Bacterial small subunit ribosomal RNA
Source: RNAcentral
UACGAAGGGGGCUAGCGUUGUUCGGAAUUACUGGGCGUAAAGCGUGCGCAGGCGGCUUCUCAAGUCAGGGGUGAAAGCCCAGAGCUCAACUCUGGAACUGCCUUUGAGACUGAGAGGCUUGAGUACGGGAGAGGUGAGUGGAAUUCCCAGUGUAGAGGUGAAAUUCGUAGAUAUUGGGAAGAACACCGGUGGCGAAGGCGGCUCACUGGCCCGAAACUGACGCUCAUGCACGAAAGCGUGGGGAUCAAACAGG